CACCAUGGAUCGUACACUGCCGGUGAUUUUUGUCACUCUGGUGCUUCAAGCAUUAUGGGGCUCUGCCUCUUCCUCCCUGCUGGGCCCGCGCACAGCGGCCACCAAAAACGUCGACCAAUCCGAGGUGGAAGGGAAUGAAUAUUGUUACUCUUGUGUCAAAAUCAACAACAUCUGCUACAACCACACCUACUUGUUCGAGCUCCCUGCCCCCUUCGGUAAACACCACCCCGUCGUUGAAAGAAUGGGCAUCAUGGAAGCCACUAACGUUCUGUACUAUACCUUCGAACCUAAGCUCAGUGAUAAAGAAUACUCCAAAGUUGCCUUCGUAUCGUUAAACUCUACGAACUUCUCUGGCGUUAUUUCUGGCGGGAAGUCUUCUAACUUUGGUCCCUUUGAUAUAGAUCA
Long non-coding RNA from Cydia amplana, 405 nucleotides. RefSeq lists it as uncharacterized. The record is from RefSeq and is a predicted model, not a curated record. NCBI's taxonomy places the organism in Eukaryota, Metazoa, Arthropoda, Insecta, Lepidoptera, Tortricidae. The transcript has 2 exons.